GCCAGGCGCAGUGGCACACGCCUGUAAUCCCAGCAGCUCUGGAGGCUGAGGCAGGAGGAUCAGGAGUUCAAAGCCAGCCUCAGCAAAAAGUGAGGCUCUAAGUAACUCAGGGAGACCCUGUCUCUA
RNAcentral lists this small RNA (126 nucleotides) under Marmota monax (woodchuck). Lineage: Eukaryota; Metazoa; Chordata; Mammalia; Rodentia; Sciuridae. The record is from RNAcentral.